This is a non-coding RNA of Mycena galopus ATCC 62051, 81 nucleotides long. The record is from the annotation of a GenBank genome assembly. Lineage: Eukaryota; Fungi; Basidiomycota; Agaricomycetes; Agaricales; Mycenaceae.
UGCCCCCUGGCCCAGCUGGUUAAGGCGCACGACUGUUAAGCGCACAUCGUGAGAGCGUGAGUUCGAUCCUCACGGGGGCAG